GCUCGGGUCGUCCAAUGGCUAAGACAUUUCGUUGUGGCUUAAUAAGCACUCUGAAACCGAAAAAAUCUGAGUUCGAUUCUCAGCCCGGGCA
The sequence is a transfer RNA, 91 nucleotides long. It matches the Rfam family "tRNA". From Rfam's summary of the family: Transfer RNA (tRNA) molecules are approximately 80 nucleotides in length. Their secondary structure includes four short double-helical elements and three loops (D, anti-codon, and T loops). The record is from Rfam.